Molecule: long non-coding RNA, 432 nt
Filed under: Lupinus angustifolius (narrow-leaved blue lupine)
Lineage: Eukaryota; Viridiplantae; Streptophyta; Magnoliopsida; Fabales; Fabaceae
Description: long non-coding RNA (LANG_LNC001118)
Source: RNAcentral
UGAAAUUUUAAUUUUGGCCUACUGGGAAUAACAUUUUAGAUGAGAAAACAAAGAACUAAAUACCAACCAACACUGUCGCCGACUGAGACGAACCUGUUAUAUGAAAAUACGAGUGAAAUAUUAUGGCACAGUUAGAAUUGUUAUAAGCAGUGGUUGUAAUAGUGGGUUAUAUGAGACGAACCUUAUGGUUGGUAAGGUGUAACGUAACAACAUGGCCGCUAGAUUUGUCGGUGGAUUAGGUUCCAGAGCAAGCAAGAAACUAGUUCUUCAAAAUAAUUGCUUCUUGUUGGAGAUUCGUUUUCCUUUUCCCAUCAUAGUUCUUUUGUUUCCUGCAUCUUUUUUUAUAUCGAAUCAUAAGAUAACAUAGUAGACAGAACAUUGUACCUUAAAAAGAACCGGCAAAUUACGUACAAGUUGUUUCAUAUAUAUCUC